RNAcentral lists this transfer RNA (69 nucleotides) under Nesophrosyne sp. 281 GMB-2012. Its description in RNAcentral is "tRNA-Pro". Lineage: Eukaryota; Metazoa; Arthropoda; Insecta; Hemiptera; Cicadellidae. The record is from RNAcentral.
CAACUAGUAGUUUAUUAGAAGAAUAUUAAUUUUGGGUAUUAAAGGUAUAGAAUAUUUCUAUUUUGUUGA